Molecule: long non-coding RNA, 1736 nt
Organism: Ictalurus punctatus (channel catfish)
Lineage: Eukaryota; Metazoa; Chordata; Actinopteri; Siluriformes; Ictaluridae
Source: Ensembl
AUAAUAAAUCCCAAUUAUUACUAAUUUCUUUUACCUGUUGAUCCCAAUUAAAUACCAAAACAUUAGAACUGUGUGUGAGCAUUUGCAAUGGGCAAACAUGGAGAAGGAUAGAGUGGAAGAGAGAGGAAACCUGCAGAGGGAUCAAGAGGUAGACGUAGACCCUGUCAAAGACAAAGAGGUGGGCAAGGGCCUAGACAAAGAGGUGGGCAAGGGCCUAGACAAAGAGGUGGAUAUGGGCCUAGACCAAGAGAUGGGCAUGGGCCUAGACAAAGAGGUGGGCAUGGGCCUAGACAAAGAGGUGGACAUGGGCCUAGACAAAGAGGUGGGCAUGGGCCUAGACAAAGAGGUGGACAUGGGCCUAGACAAAAAGGUGGGCAUGGGCCCAGACAAAGAGAUGCUCAUCAGAGGAAUGUAAGCAGAAGGCAAUGUACUAUCAUUUCAAAGGAAGUCCGGGCCAUCAUUGUUGACCAUGUGGUUAAAAGAGGCCUUACAAUGGCAGAGGCUGCCAAUUUAGUUCACCCUAACCUCAAAGGUCAACAUCAUCAGAACAUUUCGCCAAGAAAACACAAUUGGCAGGAAACAACCUGGUGGUGGUCACAGAUGUAUACUGACUAACCAGCAAGAGUUGGCUGUGGUGUAAAUGGUCAGGGCAAGGAAUGACGUAAGGCUGUCUGAAAUAAAGCACGUUACUGAGGAGAGCAAUGACACCUUUUCCAAUGUGGCAUCAAUCAGCCUUACAACUAUUGCCCGCCUUUUGAUGAAGCACCAGGUUCCUAUGAAACAAAUUUACCUGGUGCCUUUUGAGAGAAACCCUGCCCAGGUGAAAUGACUGUGCUGAAUAUGUUCAGAGGGUGAUUAAGCUGGAUGCUGCUGUGAAUCACCACAAGUAUAUUUCUGUUGACAAGGCAGGCUUUAAUCUGGCAAGAAAUAGACACUGUGGACAUAACCUUAUUGUCCAGUGGGCAACCAUCCAAGUGCCUGGACAAUGUGGGAAACAUCUCAGUGUGUGCGGCUAUAUGUGAAGAUGGUGUGGGUGGCCUUAGACCAGUUCUUGGAUCAUACAGCACUGAGCACCAGAUAGCUUUUCUAAAUGAACUUGAGCAGGUCUGUCAGGGUGAAGAUAUCAUGUAUGUUACUGUGUGGGACAAUGUCAGCUCCCAUCACACAGAGCUGGUUCCCACCAUACUCCCCUUUCCUCAAGCCAAUUCAGGAAUUCUUCUCUACUCGGAGGUGGAUGGUGUACAAUUGCCAUCCCCAUGAGCAUGUCACCCUCCUUCAAGUCAUGGAUGAGUCUUGCAAUGACAUAACUGCUGAGCAAGGUCAAGCCUGCAUUCGUCAUGCCAGAAGGUUUUUCCCAUGGUGCAUGAAACAACGAGGAUCUUCACUGUGAUGAUGAAAAUUUAUGGCUGUCACGUCCCAAGACGUAAGGGACCUGAAUACGGAAGCAGGUGCAGGUAAAGGAAUUUUAUUAAAGGAGACAAAGGCAGACAAAUCCAAAUCAGUAUUCCAAAGUGUGGUCCAAAAACAUGCAAAAGGUCAGGCGAUUGGCAAACAGGCAUAAAUGGGGCAAAGCAGGAAUCGAAGUCGCGAUCACUGGAAAUGAGGUCAAAACACAAAUCAUGAAACAUGAAAUUAUGACUAGGAACUGGGAGUGUAGAACACCAGCAUGGUCUAAAUGAACUAAUCUAACUUUAAACUAACUAAAUCUAUCCAGGUACGUAACAUUAACUAUCAAC